Molecule: ribosomal RNA, 497 nt
Filed under: uncultured bacterium
Lineage: Bacteria
Description: partial 16S ribosomal RNA
Rfam family: Bacterial small subunit ribosomal RNA
Source: RNAcentral
GAUGAACGCUGGCGGCGUGCCUAAUACAUGCAAGUCGAGCGAACAGACGAGGAGCUUACUCCUCUGACGUUAGCGGCGGACGGGUGAGUAACACGUGGAUAACCUACCUAUAAGACUGGGAUAACUUCGGGAAACCGGAGCUAAUACCGGAUAACAUGUUGAACCGCAUGGUUCAACAGUGAAAGACGGUCUUGCUGUCACUUAUAGAUGGAUCCGCGUCGCAUUAGCUAGUUGGUAAGGUAACGGCUUACCAAGGCAACGAUGCGUAGCCGACCUGAGAGGGUGAUCGGCCACACUGGAACUGAGACACGGUCCAGGCUCCUACGGGAGGCAGCAGUAGGGAAUCUGCCGCAAUGGGCGAAAGCCUGACGGAGCAACGCCGCGUGAGUGAAGAAGGUCUUCGGAUCGUAAAACUCUGUUAUUAGGGAAGAACAAAUGUGUAAGUAACUAUGCACGUCUUGACGGUACCUAAUCAGAAAGCCACGGCUAACUACGUG